Molecule: RNA transcript, 839 nt
Organism: Prunus dulcis (almond)
Lineage: Eukaryota; Viridiplantae; Streptophyta; Magnoliopsida; Rosales; Rosaceae
Exons: 6
Source: RefSeq, a predicted model, not a curated record
UAAGGUUGAGAGGCGUCUGGUUGGAUUUCAACUAGCUGGUUGGAGAGCUUGAGGGGUAAAAUGGGAGAGCUGUUGGUUCUUCAAUGUCUACAUCUGGAGGCUUUUACUGUUUUACACAGCCAUAGUUCACCGACUUCAGUUUUGGCUUCCAUUCUUCACCGACUUCCUUGCCUUCUUCUCUUUCGAUUCGAAGAUCAAUUUCCAUCUAAACUCAUCUCCGUCUGUUGCUCUCCUGGCCUUGGCCUCUGAUCAGGUAUAUAUCUGUGUGUUUUAAUGUGCAAAGGGUCGUGUUUUCAGGUGAUUUUAUCAUUAAGAUGCCAAUGUUGACUGCUCCAAGUACAAUUGUUAGCUCGCCUCUAUUGCCAACAUGUACUCACUUCCCGACUCACUUGGGUUCUAUCAGGAAGGGGAUUGAAUCUCACAGAUUAGCUCAGCUGCACCCAGAAAACUAUCUGAGAAGAUAAUCUGCAGAGCAGGGGACUUGCAAUCUACUGAGGUUGGGAGCUGCUUUUGGAGCCUCAUUUAUUUGGCCUGCGAGCUUGAUUUACUUCUCCAGGUCAAGAUCUCCAUCAAAGAGAAGAAAAGUCAUGAAGAAAUUGCAAAACAAAACCUGCCCAAUUAAACAGCAUGGUACUCAAAACUAUCCAAAUUUUGCUAUUUUGAUAACUGCUUCCCACUAUUAACAUCUUAAUGUAUAUAUAAAUAUGCCUACUAUUUUAACAUAAAAAGCAGCCUGUAAAAUAUAUUAUUACUUUCUUUUUUAGCAACUUAUACUUCCUUAGUUAAAUAUAAUGCUACAAAUUAAAUCUCAUUGUAUAUAUAAACAAUCUUAUUUUUUC